GGGCCACCACAAGGUGACAGGAGCCAUGGAAAAGCCAUUGGAAACCAGUAUGAGAUGAUGGGACCUGUAAAAAAUCCAUAUGGGGCCACCACGAGAUGACUGGGACCACGAAAAAUCCAUGUGGGGCCAUUGUGAGGUGAUAGGGGCCAUGAAAAAGGCAUAGGGGGCCACCAUGAGGUGAUGGGGCCAUGAAAAAGCCAUAUGGGGCCACUGUGAGGUGAUGGGGGCCAUGGAAAAGCUAUAGGAGCCACCACGAGAUGAUGGGGGCCAUGAAAAGCCAUAGGAAGCCAUGAUGAGAUGAUGAGAACCAUAAAAAAUCCAUAUGGGGCCACCACAAGAUGAAUGGGACCAUAAAAAAUCCAUGUGGGGGCAUUGUGAGGUGAUAGGGGCCAUGAAAAAGGCAUAGGGGGCCACCAUGAGGUGAUGGGGUCAUGAAAAAGCCAUAGGAAACCACCAUGAGAUGAUGGGAACCAUAAAAAAUCCAUAUGGGGACACCAUGAGGUGAUGGGGACCAUGAAAAAGCCACAUGGGGCCACAACAAGGUGAUAGGAGCCAUGAAAAA
Tympanuchus pallidicinctus (lesser prairie-chicken) is the source of this 562-nucleotide long non-coding RNA. RefSeq lists it as uncharacterized. The transcript is spliced from 3 exons. NCBI's taxonomy places the organism in Eukaryota, Metazoa, Chordata, Aves, Galliformes, Phasianidae. The record is from RefSeq and is a predicted model, not a curated record.